CGCGCUGUAAACGAUGGGUACUAGGUGUGGGAGGUAUCGACCCCUUCUGUGCCGGAGUUAACGCAAUAAGUAUCCCGCCUGGGGACUACGGCCGCAAGGCUAAAACUCAAAGGAAUUGACGGGGGCCCGCACAAGCGGUGGAGCAUGUGGUUUAAUUCGACGCAACGCGAAGAACCUUACCAGGAUUUGACAUCCUCUGCUAUCGCAAGAGAUUGCGAAUUUAAUCUUCGGAUUAACAGAGAGACAGGUGG
RNAcentral lists this ribosomal RNA (251 nucleotides) under uncultured Selenomonadales bacterium. RNAcentral's name for it is "partial 16S ribosomal RNA". It matches the Rfam family "Bacterial small subunit ribosomal RNA", at positions 796 to 1041 of the family's 1533-position model. Lineage: Bacteria; Bacillati; Bacillota; Negativicutes; Selenomonadales. The record is from RNAcentral.